RNAcentral lists this long non-coding RNA (367 nucleotides) under Zonotrichia albicollis (white-throated sparrow). RNAcentral describes it as "lncRNA (ENSZALG00000000335.1)". Lineage: Eukaryota; Metazoa; Chordata; Aves; Passeriformes; Passerellidae. The record is from RNAcentral.
AUGAGGGGCUGGACCCUUUCCCCAUCCUGAGGGGCUCCUGUGAGGGGCUGGGCCCCCUCCCCAUCCUGAGGCGCCCCAUUUGUCUGUGAGGGGCUGGGGCUGGGCCCCUUCCCCACCCUGAGGGGCUCAGAGCAGACCCCGACCCCCUCUGAGGGUCUUCCCAGCUGAGCUCUGCCCAUAGCCCUGCCUGCUUUACAGAAUAUUUUUCAUCGCUUGGAUGCUUCAUUUUGAGGCAGUGACCCGAGCAGGAGCUGAGCUGGUCCCUUGGUGCAGCAGUUUUGGGGCUGGGGACACAGCCCAGGUGUGCAGGAGGAGCAGCUCAUACAGGAAAAUUCCCUGUGUUCUCCCCAUCCCCAGGCACCCUCUC